RNAcentral lists this ribosomal RNA (273 nucleotides) under uncultured bacterium. Its description in RNAcentral is "partial 16S ribosomal RNA". It matches the Rfam family "Bacterial small subunit ribosomal RNA", at positions 355 to 620 of the family's 1533-position model. The record is from RNAcentral.
UGAGGAAUUUUGCGCAAUGGGAGCAAUCCUGACGCAGCAACGCCGCGUGGGUGAAGAAGGCCUUCGGGUCGUAAAGCCCUGUCAGGUGGGAAGAAGGGUCCUAUCAGGAAAGGGGUGGGAUUUGACGGUACCACCAGAGGAAGCACCGGCUAACUCCGUGCCAGCAGCCGCGGUAAUACGGAGGGUGCGAGCGUUAUUCGGAAUUACUGGGCGUAAAGCGCGUGUAGGCGGGGGAGCAAGUCUGAUGUGAAAGCCCCGGGCUUAACCCGGGGA